Molecule: ribosomal RNA, 304 nt
Filed under: uncultured bacterium
Lineage: Bacteria
Description: partial 16S ribosomal RNA
Rfam family: Bacterial small subunit ribosomal RNA
Source: RNAcentral
CAGCAGCCGCCGCGGUAAUACGAAGGGUGCAAGCGUUACUCGGAAUUACUGGGCGUAAAGCGUGCGUAGGUGGUGGUUUAAGUCCGUUGUGAAAGCCCUGGGCUCAACCUGGGAAUUGCAGUGGAUACUGGGUCACUAGAGUGUGGUAGAGGAUAGUGGAAUUUCCGGUGUAGCAGUGAAAUGCGUAGAUAUAGGAAGGAACACCAGUGGCGAAGGCGACCACCUGGACUGAUACUGACACUGAGGUGCGAAAGCGUGGGGAGCAAACAGGAUUAGAUACCCCCGUAGUCCCUGUCUCUUAUAC